AGAAACCUAAAUACACGCUGUCUGAACACUGAAAUCUGAAUGUCAGCGCUGCUCUCUGAUGUGUAUGUCUCAAAGCUGGUGAUGAUGCCAAGAUCCGCGUGUGGCAGAUUCCCAAAGGAGGCCUGACGGAAACCCUGACUGAGCCGGAGUGUGUUCUGCGAGGACACACGGAGAAGAUUUACUCUAUCAAGUUCCAUCCCCACGCGUCCAGCCUGCUGGCUUCCUCCUCCUACGACCUCACGGUGAGACUGUGGAACCUGGAGACAGGAGAGGAAGUCAAACGACUCAGCGGACAUCAGGACCAGAUAUUUGGCAUGGCUUGGAGUCCAGACGGGAAACUGCUGGCCACUGUGUGUAAGGACGGAAAAGUGCG
This is a long non-coding RNA of Sinocyclocheilus anshuiensis, 373 nucleotides long. RefSeq lists it as uncharacterized. The record is from RefSeq and is a predicted model, not a curated record. The transcript has 3 exons. Lineage: Eukaryota; Metazoa; Chordata; Actinopteri; Cypriniformes; Cyprinidae.